RNAcentral lists this ribosomal RNA (492 nucleotides) under uncultured bacterium. RNAcentral describes it as "partial 16S ribosomal RNA". It matches the Rfam family "Bacterial small subunit ribosomal RNA", at positions 29 to 507 of the family's 1533-position model. The record is from RNAcentral.
AGUGAACGCUCGCGGUAGGCCUAACACAUGCAAGUCGAACGGCAGCACAGUAAGAGCUUGCUCUUACGGGUGGCGAGUGGCGGACGGGUGAGGAAUACAUCGGAAUCUACUUUUUCGUGGGGGAUAACGUAGGGAAACUUACGCUAAUACCGCAUACGACCUACGGGUGAAAGCAGGGGAUCUUCGGACCUUGCGCGAUUGAAUGAGCCGAUGUCGGAUUAGCUAGUUGGCGGGGUAAAGGCCCACCAAGGCGACGAUCCGUAGCUGGUCUGAGAGGAUGAUCAGCCACACAGGAACUGAGACACGGUCCAGACUCCUACGGGAGGCAGCAGUGGGGAAUAUUGGACAAUGGGCGCAAGCCUGAUCCAGCCAUACCGCGUGGGUGAAGAAGGCCUUCGGGUUGUAAAGCCCUCUUGUUGGGAAAGAAAAGCAGCAGGUUAAUACCCCGCUGUUCUGACGGUACCCAAAGAAUAAGCACCGGCUAACUUCGUG